This 263-nucleotide ribosomal RNA is filed under the name uncultured bacterium. Its description in RNAcentral is "partial 16S ribosomal RNA". It matches the Rfam family "Bacterial small subunit ribosomal RNA", at positions 1237 to 1500 of the family's 1533-position model. The record is from RNAcentral.
CAACAGAGGGAAGCAAAGCCGCGAGGUGGAGCGAACCCCUAAAAGCCAUCUCAGUUCGGACUGCAGGCUGCAACUCGCCUGCACGAAGUCGGAAUCGCUAGUAAUCGCGGAUCAGCAAGCCGCGGUGAAUACGUUCCCGGGCCUUGUACACACCGCCCGUCACACCAUGAGAGCCGGGAACACCCGAAGUCGGUAGCCUAACCGCAAGGAGGGCGCUGCCGAAGGUGGGUUCGGUAAUUGGGGUGAAGUCGUAACAAGGUAUC